GCGCCGUUAGCUCAGCUUGAUAGAGCGUCUGGCUACGGACCAGAAGGCCGGGGGUUCGAAUCCCUCACGGCGUGCCA
Molecule: transfer RNA, 77 nt
Filed under: Siphoviridae sp. ctvxh7
Lineage: Duplodnaviria; Heunggongvirae; Uroviricota; Caudoviricetes
Description: tRNA-Arg
Rfam family: tRNA
About the family: Transfer RNA (tRNA) molecules are approximately 80 nucleotides in length. Their secondary structure includes four short double-helical elements and three loops (D, anti-codon, and T loops).
Source: RNAcentral